GCCUUUUAAGUUGGAUGUGAAAGCCUACGGCUUAACCGUAGAACUGCAUCCAAAACUAUUGGGCUAGAGUGUGGGAGAGGAAGAUGGAAUUAGUUGUGUAGGGGUAAAAUCCGUAGAGAUAACUAGGAAUACCAAAAGCGAAGGCAAUCUUCUGGAACACUACUGACGCUGAGGCGCGAAAGCGUGGGGAGCAAACAGGAUUAGAUACCCUGGUAGUCCACGCAGUAAACGAUGAAUGUUAGUCGUCGGGGCUCUCGUAGUUUCGGUGAUGCAGCUAACGCAUUAAACAUUCCGCCUGGGGAGUACGGUCGCAAGAUUAAAACUCAAAGGAAUAGACGGGGACCCGCACAAGUGGUGGAGCAUGUGGUUUAAUUCGAAGAUACGCGAAGAACCUUACCUGGCCUUGACAUUGAGAGAAUCCUUUAGAGAUAGAGGAGUGCCUUCGGGAGCUCGAAAACAGGUGCUGCACGGCUGUCGUCAGCUCGUGUCGUGAGAUGUUGGGUUAAGUCCCGCAACGAGCGCAACCCUCGUCACUAGUUACUAACGGUUCGGCCGAGGACUCUAGUGAGACUGCC
RNAcentral lists this ribosomal RNA (575 nucleotides) under uncultured bacterium. Its description in RNAcentral is "bacterial SSU rRNA". It matches the Rfam family "Bacterial small subunit ribosomal RNA", at positions 578 to 1153 of the family's 1533-position model. The record is from RNAcentral.